RNAcentral lists this ribosomal RNA (600 nucleotides) under Streptomyces sp. Its description in RNAcentral is "bacterial SSU rRNA". It matches the Rfam family "Bacterial small subunit ribosomal RNA", at positions 122 to 737 of the family's 1533-position model. Lineage: Bacteria; Bacillati; Actinomycetota; Actinomycetes; Kitasatosporales; Streptomycetaceae. The record is from RNAcentral.
CAAUCUGCCCUUCACUCUGGGACAAGCCCUGGAAACGGGGUCUAAUACCGGAUAUGACACAGGACCGCAUGGUCUCUGUGUGGAAAGCUCCGGCGGUGAAGGAUGAGCCCGCGGCCUAUCAGCUUGUUGGUGGGGUGAUGGCCUACCAAGGCGACGACGGGUAGCCGGCCUGAGAGGGCGACCGGCCACACUGGGACUGAGACACGGCCCAGACUCCUACGGGAGGCAGCAGUGGGGAAUAUUGCACAAUGGGCGAAAGCCUGAUGCAGCGAGGCCGCGUGAGGGAUGACGGCCUUCGGGUUGUAAACCUCUUUCAGCAGGGAAGAAGCGAAAGUGACGGUACCUGCAGAAGAAGCGCCGGCUAACUACGUGCCAGCAGCCGCGGUAAUACGUAGGGCGCAAGCGUUGUCCGGAAUUAUUGGGCGUAAAGAGCUCGUAGGCGGCUUGUCACGUCGGUUGUGAAAGCCCGGGGCUUAACCCCGGGUCUGCAGUCGAUACGGGCAGGCUAGAGUUCGGUAGGGGAGAUCGGAAUUCCUGGUGUAGCGGUGAAAUGCGCAGAUAUCAUGAGGAACACCGGUGGCGAAGCGGAUCUCUGGCCGA